UUGCUAACACUACUCUUUUCAUUUGUGUUCUGGUUGAUUCCAAAACUCUCAAACUAAGGUCGAGUAACUCAAAAACAAGAAACACUGCCCUCACUGCCAAUUAAUCAAUCACCUUCGCCAGGCAUCAGUUCAAAAUCUUUGUACAAGGGAUUUAGCACUUUCAAGUGAUUUGGUGUUAGAUACCUUGUUGAUUUUUCAUAAUUUCCUAUUUACUCAAUUUCCAUCGAGAGCAAACCAGAAAGAGGCAGCCACAGUGGAGUUCCUUCCUCAAAUAUCUCAAUGAUUAUUGGCAAGAAGAAGAAAGACUAGUGGCAAUUAUCUGCAUUUGAAUCAUACAAUGAGUUCUGGUUCUUUGAAGUUCAUUGAUUCCCUUUGAAUUCUUGGCAUUUUUUAGUUUAAUCGUGGUGUUUAAUUCUGCAAUAGCUCCUUAGAUUGAUCUAGAUUCCAAGAUAACAAAGGUUGGGCAGAAAAUAUGAAAUUCAAGCAUUUGUUGAAGUGUUCUCAAGAACGCCAAAUAUUUGGUGCUAUCAUUCUAUCUCUAUCUUUAUUUUUAGCAAAUACCAUAUGAUCAACUUAAGUAGGUUUAAGUUAUUUUCUAUCUGAACUACUGUAUUUUUUUUUAG
Molecule: long non-coding RNA, 623 nt
Filed under: Medicago truncatula (barrel medic)
Lineage: Eukaryota; Viridiplantae; Streptophyta; Magnoliopsida; Fabales; Fabaceae
Description: lncRNA gene16804
Source: RNAcentral